Molecule: ribosomal RNA, 968 nt
Filed under: Cercospora rhynchophora
Lineage: Eukaryota; Fungi; Ascomycota; Dothideomycetes; Mycosphaerellales; Mycosphaerellaceae
Description: SSU rRNA
Rfam family: Eukaryotic small subunit ribosomal RNA
Source: RNAcentral
UCAAAGAUUAAGCCAUGCAUGUCUAAGUAUAAGCAACUAUACGGUGAAACUGCGAAUGGCUCAUUAAAUCAGUUAUCGUUUAUUUGAUAGUACCUUACUACAUGGAUAACCGUGGUAAUUCUAGAGCUAAUACAUGCUAAAAACCCCAACUUCGAAGGGGUGUAUUUAUUAGAUAAAAAACCAAUGCCCUUCGGGGCUCCUUGGUGAAUCAUAAUAACUUCACGAAUCGCAUGGCCUUGCGCCGGCNNUGGUUCAUUCAAAUUUCUGCCCUAUCAACUUUCGAUGGUAGGAUANAGGCCUACCAUGGUUUCAACGGGUAACGGGGAAUUAGGGUUCGACUCCGGAGNGGNAGCCUGAGAAACGGCUACCACAUCCAAGGAAGGCAGCAGGCGCGCAAAUUACCCAAUCCCGACACGGGGAGGUAGUGACAAUAAAUACUGAUACAGGGCUCUUUUGGGUCUUGUAAUUGGAAUGAGUACAAUUUAAAUCCCUUAACGAGGAACAAUUGGAGGGCAAGUCUGGUGCCAGCAGCCGCGGUAAUUCCAGCUCCAAUAGCGUAUAUUAAAGUUGUUGCAGUUAAAAAGCUCGUAGUUGAACCUUGGGCCUGGCUGGCCGGUCCGCCUCACCGCGUGUACUGGUCCGGCCGGGCCUUUCCUUCUGGGGAGCCGCAUGCCCUUCACUGGGCGUGUCGGGGAACCAGGACUUUUACUUUGAAAAAAUUAGAGUGUUCAAAGCAGGCCUUUGCUCGAAUACAUUAGCAUGGAAUAAUAGAAUAGGACGUGUGGUUCUAUUUUGUUGGUUUCUAGGACCGCCGUAAUGAUUAAUAGGGAUAGUCGGGGGCNUNNNNAUUCAAUUGUCAGAGGUGAAAUUCUUGGAUUUAUUGAAGACGAACUACUGCGAAAGCAUUUGCCAAGGAUGUUUUCAUUAAUCAGUGAACGAAAGUUAGGGGAUCGAAGACGAUCAGAUAC